Molecule: ribosomal RNA, 1539 nt
Filed under: Salmonella enterica subsp. enterica serovar Heidelberg
Lineage: Bacteria; Pseudomonadati; Pseudomonadota; Gammaproteobacteria; Enterobacterales; Enterobacteriaceae
Description: bacterial SSU rRNA
Rfam family: Bacterial small subunit ribosomal RNA
Source: RNAcentral
AUCAUGGCUCAGAUUGAACGCUGGCGGCAGGCCUAACACAUGCAAGUCGAACGGUAACAGGAAGCAGCUUGCUGCUUUGCUGACGAGUGGCGGACGGGUGAGUAAUGUCUGGGAAACUGCCUGAUGGAGGGGGAUAACUACUGGAAACGGUGGCUAAUACCGCAUAACGUCGCAAGACCAAAGAGGGGGACCUUCGGGCCUCUUGCCAUCAGAUGUGCCCAGAUGGGAUUAGCUUGUUGGUGAGGUAACGGCUCACCAAGGCGACGAUCCCUAGCUGGUCUGAGAGGAUGACCAGCCACACUGGAACUGAGACACGGUCCAGACUCCUACGGGAGGCAGCAGUGGGGAAUAUUGCACAAUGGGCGCAAGCCUGAUGCAGCCAUGCCGCGUGUAUGAAGAAGGCCUUCGGGUUGUAAAGUACUUUCAGCGGGGAGGAAGGUGUUGUGGUUAAUAACCACAGCAAUUGACGUUACCCGCAGAAGAAGCACCGGCUAACUCCGUGCCAGCAGCCGCGGUAAUACGGAGGGUGCAAGCGUUAAUCGGAAUUACUGGGCGUAAAGCGCACGCAGGCGGUCUGUCAAGUCGGAUGUGAAAUCCCCGGGCUCAACCUGGGAACUGCAUUCGAAACUGGCAGGCUUGAGUCUUGUAGAGGGGGGUAGAAUUCCAGGUGUAGCGGUGAAAUGCGUAGAGAUCUGGAGGAAUACCGGUGGCGAAGGCGGCCCCCUGGACAAAGACUGACGCUCAGGUGCGAAAGCGUGGGGAGCAAACAGGAUUAGAUACCCUGGUAGUCCACGCCGUAAACGAUGUCUACUUGGAGGUUGUGCCCUUGAGGCGUGGCUUCCGGAGCUAACGCGUUAAGUAGACCGCCUGGGGAGUACGGCCGCAAGGUUAAAACUCAAAUGAAUUGACGGGGGCCCGCACAAGCGGUGGAGCAUGUGGUUUAAUUCGAUGCAACGCGAAGAACCUUACCUGGUCUUGACAUCCACAGAACUUUCCAGAGAUGGAUUGGUGCCUUCGGGAACUGUGAGACAGGUGCUGCAUGGCUGUCGUCAGCUCGUGUUGUGAAAUGUUGGGUUAAGUCCCGCAACGAGCGCAACCCUUAUCCUUUGUUGCCAGCGGUUAGGCCGGGAACUCAAAGGAGACUGCCAGUGAUAAACUGGAGGAAGGUGGGGAUGACGUCAAGUCAUCAUGGCCCUUACGACCAGGGCUACACACGUGCUACAAUGGCGCAUACAAAGAGAAGCGACCUCGCGAGAGCAAGCGGACCUCAUAAAGUGCGUCGUAGUCCGGAUUGGAGUCUGCAACUCGACUCCAUGAAGUCGGAAUCGCUAGUAAUCGUGGAUCAGAAUGCCACGGUGAAUACGUUCCCGGGCCUUGUACACACCGCCCGUCACACCAUGGGAGUGGGUUGCAAAAGAAGUAGGUAGCUUAACCUUCGGGAGGGCGCUUACCACUUUGUGAUUCAUGACUGGGGUGAAGUCGUAACAAGGUAACCGUAGGGGAACCUGCGGUUGGAUCACCUCCUUACCUUAAAGAAGC